Molecule: ribosomal RNA, 245 nt
Filed under: uncultured Paracoccus sp.
Lineage: Bacteria; Pseudomonadati; Pseudomonadota; Alphaproteobacteria; Rhodobacterales; Paracoccaceae
Description: partial 16S ribosomal RNA
Rfam family: Bacterial small subunit ribosomal RNA
Source: RNAcentral
UACGGAGGGGGCUAGCGUUGUUCGGAAUUACUGGGCGUAAAGCGCACGUAGGCGGACUGGAAAGUCAGAGGUGAAAUCCCAGGGCUCAACCUUGGAACUGCCUUUGAAACUAUCAGUCUGGAGUUCGAGAGAGGUGAGUGGAAUUCCGAGUGUAGAGGUGAAAUUCGUAGAUAUUCGGAGGAACACCAGUGGCGAAGGCGGCUCACUGGCUCGAUACUGACGCUGAGGUGCGAAAGCGUGGGGAG